UACGCUCGGGGACGGCCGGUAGCUCGGCGAUUCCUCGCUUGGCGCACCAUUGAAAACCGGCGGUCAUCCAGCAGUGUACGCUGCCAGCGUAUUUUUUAUUGCCAGAGGUAGCAAACAGCAGUGCCACAACAAACAGUGGAGUGCUGACCAUGCAGUCCAGAAGGUGGCUGAGGCAAGUAUGCUAUAGGAGGUGCUUAUUCAGGCGGAAGAAAUAAGCAUCUGUAGCCAACGUAAAGGAAGCAUCUUCAAAAGGCAGUGCUACAAGGAUGUGAGCAGCAGUUUCCCUUCAACGAACGGGUCAAACUCAUGGAAGCCACGUGCCUGCUGCUUCUGGCCUACACAAACAUGCAGCCACCAUAGUAAAGUUCUUGCAAAGACAUUCUACACGAAUUUGCCCAAAGGCGGAAGGAAGGCACGCACAGAUGGACGCACAGAAAUCAUGGGGCUGCCGUAGAAGCUGUGAAUGAGCAU
Molecule: long non-coding RNA, 471 nt
Organism: Rhipicephalus sanguineus (brown dog tick)
Lineage: Eukaryota; Metazoa; Arthropoda; Arachnida; Ixodida; Ixodidae
Exons: 4
Source: RefSeq, a predicted model, not a curated record